UUUUGUUCUUCCAAGUUGAGCAGCUAUGGCUAUCACGUGCUGAAGGUGGGAUACCAGUCGUCAUAGCCUUUUUCCAUACAAAUGUCUCUGCAGAUAUGAGAAGGAAAUGCAUGAACAAGCAUGUUUUUUUGGGGUACACAUGAAC
Molecule: long non-coding RNA, 145 nt
Organism: Rhodamnia argentea
Lineage: Eukaryota; Viridiplantae; Streptophyta; Magnoliopsida; Myrtales; Myrtaceae
Exons: 3
Source: RefSeq, a predicted model, not a curated record